RNAcentral lists this ribosomal RNA (391 nucleotides) under uncultured bacterium. Its description in RNAcentral is "bacterial SSU rRNA". It matches the Rfam family "Bacterial small subunit ribosomal RNA", at positions 30 to 416 of the family's 1533-position model. The record is from RNAcentral.
AGCGAACGUUUGCGGCGGGCUUAACACAUGCAAGUCGAACGGGCUGUUCCUUCGGGGGCAGUCAGUGGCGCACGGGUGCGUAACACGUAGGUAAUCAACCCUCUGGUUGGGGAUAACACUUCGAAAGGAGUGCUAAUACCCGGUAUGGCGCAGCGGUCUUCGGAUCGCGGCGAGAAAGACCCGCAAGGGUUGCCAGAGGACGAGCCUGCGGCCCAUCAGCUAGUUGGCGAGGUAACGGCUCACCAAGGCGAAGACGGGUAGCUGGUCUGAGAGGAUGAUCAGCCACACUGGAACUGAGACGCGGUCCAGACUCCUACGGGAGGCAGCAGUGGGGAAUAUUGCGCAAUGGGCGAAAGCCUGACGCAGCCACGCCGCGUGAGCGAUGAAGGCC